Molecule: transfer RNA, 65 nt
Filed under: Lottia digitalis (California fingered limpet)
Lineage: Eukaryota; Metazoa; Mollusca; Gastropoda; Lottiidae
Description: tRNA-Cys
Rfam family: tRNA
About the family: Transfer RNA (tRNA) molecules are approximately 80 nucleotides in length.
Source: RNAcentral
AUAGGCGUAGUUUACUAAAACACUGAACUGCAAACUCAGAAUCACGGGACACUCCGUCGCCUAUU